Molecule: ribosomal RNA, 573 nt
Filed under: Culaea inconstans (brook stickleback)
Lineage: Eukaryota; Metazoa; Chordata; Actinopteri; Perciformes; Gasterosteidae
Description: partial large subunit ribosomal RNA
Rfam family: Bacterial large subunit ribosomal RNA
Source: RNAcentral
CGCCUCUUGUGAUCAAGAAAUAAGAGGUCCCGCCUGCCCUGUGACUAUAAGUUUAACGGCCGCGGUAUUUUGACCGUGCGAAGGUAGCGCAAUCACUUGUCUUUUAAAUGGAGACCUGUAUGAAUGGCAUAACGAGGGCUUAACUGUCUCCUUUUUCCAGUCAAUGAAAUUGAUUUCCCCGUGCAGAAGCGGGGAUAAAUACAUAAGACGAGAAGACCCUAUGGAGCUUUAGACACUAAAAUGGCCCAUGUCAAUAACCCCAAGAAAAAGGAAAAAACCAAAUGGGACCCACCUUGAUGUCUUUGGUUGGGGCGACCGCGGGGAAAUAAAUAACCCCCACGUGGAGUGGGAGCACCUCCUCCUAAAACUAAGAGUGACAACUCUAAUCAACAGAAAUUCUGACCAGGAAGAUCCGGCAAUGCCGAUCAACGGACCUAGUUACCCUAGGGAUAACAGCGCAAUCCUCUUUUAGAGCCCAUAUCGACAAGAGGGUUUACGACCUCGAUGUUGGAUCAGGACAUCCUAAUGGUGCAGCCGCUAUUAAGGGUUCGUUUGUUCAACGAUUAAAGUCCU